This 68-nucleotide transfer RNA is filed under the name Mordacia mordax (southern lamprey). RNAcentral describes it as "tRNA-Ser". The record is from RNAcentral. Lineage: Eukaryota; Metazoa; Chordata; Hyperoartia; Petromyzontiformes; Petromyzontidae. RNAcentral also lists the same sequence under 1 other name.
GAAAAAGGCUUAGUAGCACCAAGAACUGCUAAUUCUUAACACCGCGGUUCGAUUCCGCAGCUUUUUCG